This 437-nucleotide ribosomal RNA is filed under the name uncultured bacterium. Its description in RNAcentral is "bacterial SSU rRNA". It matches the Rfam family "Bacterial small subunit ribosomal RNA", at positions 954 to 1392 of the family's 1533-position model. The record is from RNAcentral.
GCAGAACGCGAAGAACCUUACCUGGGUUUGACAUGGCCGCAAAACUGUCAGAGAUGGCAGGUCCUUCGGGGGCGGUCACAGGUGGUGCAUGGCUGUCGUCAGCUCGUGUCGUGAGAUGUUGGGUUAAGUCCCGCAACGAGCGCAACCCUCGUUCGAUGUUGCCAGCGCGUUAUGGCGGGGACUCAUCGAAGACUGCCGGGGUCAACUCGGAGGAAGGUGGGGAUGACGUCAAGUCAUCAUGCCCCUUAUGUCCAGGGCUUCACGCAUGCUACAAUGGCCGGUACAAUGGGCUGCGAUACCGUGAGGUGGAGCGAAUCCCAAAAAGCCGGUCUCAGUUCGGAUCGGGGUCUGCAACUCGACCCCGUGAAGUCGGAGUCGCUAGUAAUCGCAGAUCAGCAACGCUGCGGUGAAUACGUUCCCGGGUCUUGUACACACCG